Molecule: ribosomal RNA, 760 nt
Filed under: Dreissena rostriformis
Lineage: Eukaryota; Metazoa; Mollusca; Bivalvia; Myida; Dreissenidae
Description: 12S ribosomal RNA
Source: RNAcentral
AUACACUUGGCAAUUAGUAUAUUAAGCGUUUAUAUCAAGAGUACAUAUAAACACGGUGCAGUAGAUAGUACGGGUUAAUAUAAACAAUUAUAGAGCAAGGGGGGUAAUAGGGUGCCAGCCCCCGCGGUUAAACCCUACACCUUUAUCUAAAUUUUUUAGUGAAAAAGAGAAAGAGAAACUUAAGAAAAAAAGUUCCCUUUAUUUUGGUGAAAUAAAUAAAUUGUUGACCUUGUUUUUGGUUCUUAGAAACUUUUUUCUUGAAAGCCUGAAGAAGAGACAGGGAUUAGAGACCCCUUUAUUUAUGGUGUCUUUUAUUUGCGGGGACUAUGAACAAAACGUUUAAAAACCAAGAGGCUUGGCGGUUCAUUAAAUCCGUUUUUAAGGGAACUUGGCGGUUAAACCGAUGUUCCUCGAGGACUUUACCUUUUUCUUUCUUAACAUACCGCCGUUGACAAUUUACCCCGAAAGGUGUGUUGUAAGUAAAAAAUAUAAAUUAAACUUUAGAAAUAUAUUUAAAUUCAGGUAAACGUGUUGGUUAUAAAAAGGGCUUAGCUGAGUUACAUUUGUAAAACAUAUCGGAGAAAAACAUGAAACUGUUUUAUGAAGAAGUACUUUUUAGUAAUUAUUUCUAGUAAGGAAUAAUGAAUAGUGUUUUAAUGUGCGUACAAAUCGCCCGGUAGUCUCCGCAUAGGAGCUUUUAAGUAUAAAGCGGGAUAAGCCGUAACAUAGUAAUGCUACUAUAAAGUGGUGUUGUGUAUAU